ACAAGCAGCGGAGCGUGUGGUUUAAUUCGAUGCAACGCGAAGAACCUUUACCUGGUCUUGACAUCCACGGAAGUUUUCAGAGAUGAGAAUGUGCCUUCGGGAACCGUGAGACAGGUGCUGCAUGGCUGUCGUCAGCUCGUGUUGUGAAAUGUUGGGUUAAGUCCCGCAACGAGCCGCAACCCUUAUCCUUUGUUGCCAGCGGUCCGGCCGGGAACUCAAAGGAGACUGCCAGUGAUAAACUGGAGGAAGGUGGGAUGACGUCAAGUCAUCAUGGCCCUUACGACCAGGGCUACACACGUGCUACAAUGGCGCAUACAAAGAGAAGCGACCUCGCGAGAGCAAGCGGACCUCAUAAAGUGCGUCGUAGUCCGGAUUGGAGUCUGCAACUCGACUCCAUGAAGUCGGAAUCGCUAGUAAUCGUGGAUCAGAAUGCCACGGUGAAUACGUUCCCGGGCCUU
RNAcentral lists this ribosomal RNA (458 nucleotides) under uncultured Enterobacteriaceae bacterium. RNAcentral's name for it is "bacterial SSU rRNA". It matches the Rfam family "Bacterial small subunit ribosomal RNA", at positions 925 to 1382 of the family's 1533-position model. Lineage: Bacteria; Pseudomonadati; Pseudomonadota; Gammaproteobacteria; Enterobacterales; Enterobacteriaceae. The record is from RNAcentral.